RNAcentral lists this long non-coding RNA (810 nucleotides) under Marmota monax (woodchuck). The record is from RNAcentral. Lineage: Eukaryota; Metazoa; Chordata; Mammalia; Rodentia; Sciuridae.
CUAGAAUAUAUAAAGAACUCAAAAAACUUCACACCAAAAAGUCAAAUAACCCAAUUAAUAAGUGGGCAAAUGAACAAAACAGACACUUCCCAAAAGAAAAAAUACAGUGGCCAACAAAUACAUGAAAAAAUGUUCAACAUCAUUAGCAAUUAGGGAAAUGCAAAUCAAAACUAUACUGAGAUUUCAUCUCACCCAGUCAGAACAGAAGUCAUUAAGAAAGCAAAUAAUAAAUGCUAGAGAGAAUGUGGAGAAAAAGGACUAUUUUUACACUGUUGGUGGGAUUGUAAAAUAGUAUAACCACUAUGGAAAUCAGGGUGGAGGUUCCUCAAAGGAUUAGGAAUGGAGGACUGGGGUUGUAGCUCAGUGGUAGAGUGCUUGCUGAGCAUGUGUAAGGUGCUGGGUUUGAUCCUCAGCACCAUAUAAAAAUAAAUAAAUAAAGGUUGGGGCUGGAGUUGUGGCUCAGAGGUGGAUCACUUGCCUAGCAUGUGUGAGGCAUUGGGUUCAAUCCUCAGCACCACAUAAAAAUAAAAAAAGAUACAGUGUUCACCUAUAACUAAAAAAUUAAUAUUAAAAAAGUAUUUUAUCCAUCUACAACUAAAAAAAUAUAUAUUAAAAAAAGGAAUGGAAACAUCAUAUGACCCAGCUAUACCACUCCUGAUAUUCAUCCUGAAGAAUUUUAAGUCAGCAUACAACAGUGAUUACAGGCAUACCCAUUUAUAGCAGCAUAAUUCACAAUAGUAAACCAUGGAACCAUCCUAGGUGUCCAUCAGUGUAUAAAUGGAUAAAGAAAACGUGGUAUAUAUACAGAAC